GUGCUCGCUUUGGCAGCUCAUAUACUGAAACUGGAACAAUAUAGCCAGGAUUAGCAUGGCCCCUGCACAAAGAUAACAGGCAAAUUCAGGAAGUAUUCCAUAUAAUU
Molecule: small nuclear RNA, 107 nt
Organism: Meriones unguiculatus (Mongolian gerbil)
Lineage: Eukaryota; Metazoa; Chordata; Mammalia; Rodentia; Muridae
Source: Ensembl